UACGAGUUUGAUCAUGGCUCAGGAUGAACGCUAGCGGCAGGCCUAAUACAUGCAAGUCGAACGGAUAUAUGUUUUUCGGAAUAUAUAUUAGUGGCGCACGGGUGAGUAACACGUACAUAACUCGCCCUCAAGCGGGGGAUAGCCUUGGGAAACUGAGAGUAAUACCCCAUAGAAUUAUUGGACGGCAUCGUUUGAUAUUAAAACUACGGUGCUUGGGGAUAGAUGUGCGUCUGAUUAGCUAGUUGGUGAGGUAACUGCUCACCAAGGCGACGAUCAGUAGGGGGCGUGAGAGCGUGGCCCCCCACACGGGUACUGAGACACGGACCCGACUCCUACGGGAGGCAGCAGUAAGGAAUAUUGGUCAAUGGAGGGAACUCUGAACCAGCCAUGCCGCGUGAAGGAUGACGGCCCUCUGGGUUGUAAACUUCUUUUGGAUGGGGCGAAAAAACGGGAUUUAUCCUGGACUGACGGUACCAUCAGAAUAAGCACCGGCUAACUCCGUG
Molecule: ribosomal RNA, 503 nt
Filed under: uncultured bacterium
Lineage: Bacteria
Description: bacterial SSU rRNA
Rfam family: Bacterial small subunit ribosomal RNA
Source: RNAcentral